Molecule: signal recognition particle RNA, 78 nt
Filed under: Mollicutes bacterium
Lineage: Bacteria; Bacillati; Mycoplasmatota; Mollicutes
Description: partial signal recognition particle sRNA small type
Rfam family: Bacterial small signal recognition particle RNA
About the family: The signal recognition particle (SRP) is a universally conserved ribonucleoprotein involved in the co-translational targeting of proteins to membranes. Archaeal SRP consists of a 7S RNA and homologues of the eukaryotic SRP19 and SRP54 proteins.
Source: RNAcentral
UUAUUAAUUUGACACAACAUAUAUAAUCGAACCAGGUCAGGAUCGGAAGAUAGCAGCCUUAAGAUUCCCUAUAUGUGU